AACGGGUGAGUAAUGCAUCGGAACGUGCCCAGUCGUGGGGGAUAACGCAGCGAAAGCUGCGCUAAUACCGCAUACGAUCUAUGGAUGAAAGCGGGGGACCGUAAGGCCUCGCGCGAUUGGAGCGGCCGAUGUCAGAUUAGGUAGUUGGUGGGGUAAAGGCUCACCAAGCCAACGAUCUGUAGCUGGUCUGAGAGGACGACCAGCCACACUGGAACUGAGACACGGUCCAGACUCCUACGGGAGGCAGCAGUGGGGAAUUUUGGACAAUGGGCGCAAGCCUGAUCCAGCAAUGCCGCGUGCAGGAAGAAGGCCUUCGGGUUGUAAACUGCUUUUGUACGGAACGAAACGGUCUGGGAUAAUACCCUGGGCUAAUGACGGUACCGUAAGAAUAAGCACCGGCUAACUACGUGCCAGCAGCCGCGGUAAUACGUAGGGUGCAAGCGUUAAUCGGAAUUACUGGGCGUAAAGCGUGCGCAGGCGGUUUUGUAAGACAGGCGUGAAAUCCCCGGGCUCAACCUGGGAAUGGCGUUUGUGACUGCAAAGCUGGAGUGCGGCAGAGGGGGAUGGAAUUCCGCGUGUAGCAGUGAAAUGCGUAGAUAUGCGGAGGAACACCGAUGGCGAAGGCAAUCCCCUGGGCCUGCACUGACGCUCAUGCACGAAAGCGUGGGGAGCAAACAGGAUUAGAUACCCUGGUAGUCCACGCCCUAAACGAUGUCAACUGGGUUGUUGGGUCUCUUCUGACUCAGUAACGAAGCUAACGCGUGAAGUUGACCGCCUGGGGGAGUACGGCCGCAAGGUUGAAACUCAAAGGAAUUGACGGGGACCGCACAAGCGGUGGAAGGAAGGGGGGUUUAAAUUCGAUGCAACGCGAAAAACCUUACCCACCUUUGAAUUGGUAUGGGAAGUUUCCAGAGAAUGGAUUCGUGCUCGAAAGAGAGCCAUAACACAGGUGCUGGCAUGGCUGUCGUCAGCUCGUGUCGUGAGAAAGUUUGGGGUUAAGUCCCCGCAACGAAGCGCAACCCUUGUCAUUAGUUGCUACAUUCAGUUGGGCACUCUAAUGAGACUGCCGGUGACAAGCCGGAGGAAGGUGGGGAUGACGUCAAGUCCUCAUGGCCCUUAUAGGUGGGGCUACACACGUCAUACAAUGGCCGGUACAAAGGGUCGCAAACCCGCGAGGGGGAGCUAAUCCAUCAAAGCCGGUCGUAGUCCGGAUCGCAGUCUGCAACUCGACUGCGUGAAGUCGGAAUCGCUAGUAAUCGUGGAUCAGCAUGUCACGGUGAAUACGUUCCCGGGUCUUGUACACACCGCCCGUCACACCAUGGGAGCGGGUCUCGCCAGAAGUAGUUAGCCUAACC
Molecule: ribosomal RNA, 1355 nt
Filed under: Hydrogenophaga sp. N8S-2-6
Lineage: Bacteria; Pseudomonadati; Pseudomonadota; Betaproteobacteria; Burkholderiales; Comamonadaceae
Description: 16S ribosomal RNA
Rfam family: Bacterial small subunit ribosomal RNA
Source: RNAcentral